UAAUACGGAGGGUGCAAGCGUUAUCCGGAUUCACUGGGUUUAAAGGGUGCGUAGGUGGGUUGGUAAGUCAGUGGUGAAAUCUCCGAGCUUAACUUGGAAACUGCCAUUGAUACUAUCAGUCUUGAAUAUUGUGGAGGUUAGCGGAAUAUGUCAUGUAGCGGUGAAAUGCUUAGAUAUGACAUAGAACACCAAUUGCGAAGGCAGCUGGCUACGCAUAUAUUGACACUGAGGCACGAAAGCGUGGGGAUCAAACAGGAUUAGAUACCCUGGUAGUCCACGCCCUAAACUAUGGAUACUCGACAUACGCGAUACACAGUGUGUGUCUGAGCGAAAGCAUUAAGUAUCCCACCUGGGAAGUACGAUCGCAAGAUUG
This 373-nucleotide ribosomal RNA is filed under the name uncultured bacterium. RNAcentral describes it as "bacterial SSU rRNA". It matches the Rfam family "Bacterial small subunit ribosomal RNA", at positions 521 to 896 of the family's 1533-position model. The record is from RNAcentral.